This is a long non-coding RNA of Diachasma alloeum, 938 nucleotides long. RefSeq lists it as uncharacterized. The record is from RefSeq and is a predicted model, not a curated record. Lineage: Eukaryota; Metazoa; Arthropoda; Insecta; Hymenoptera; Braconidae. The transcript is spliced from 3 exons.
AAUAUUUUUGGAUGUUUUAAUUCGAUAUUUUUCAAAUAAAUCCGUCAAUCGUUCGAUGUCUGUCCUUCGGCAAAGAUCGUGUCAUGUUGGGGUACGGAGAGGUCCGAACAAGCGUUAGGGUUAACAGUAUGUUCCUAUUUUGAGAGCGUCUAUUUUCCUAUUUUCAUGGAAUCAUGUUUGAGAUCUGGGAGUUUUUUCAUCAUGUGGUGUUCAUAUCAGGAAUAUAUGGAAUAUCAACCACAAUGACACCAACUCCAGUACUGCUCCAACAAUCUCCCGAAAUAUUAUCACAAGCAGAUUACUCCUUCAAGAAUGAUUGGGAAUCUUAGACUGUAUCGAUCGAGCCCUGCAUUAAACAAUCGGAACCGAGCAAGUCAAAUUGAGGUGGAUGUGAAGCCCUUAUGACUGGACAUGUUCGAGUCAGAGAAAAGGAUUUAAAGGCUGGGAUGGGCAUAAGUGGGUCCCAGAGGAAGCUGAUCAAACUUGGACUUCGAACGAGAAGGACCACUUAAUUCUAAUAUCAGCGCAGAUUCUGAGGAUUUGGAAUUAAAUGAUGGAGAUAGUAAUUCUGAUGCCUUGUGGAACAAGAAAUCCUCAAUCGCAUUUGAAGGUAUGCUAAAUACUUCGGAUGAAGCUGGAGACAUAUUCAAAACUCAAGAUUGGAUCAGCAUGCAGUCUAUAGUUUUUUAUGUCCUCUAUACUGCUCUACGAAUUUAUUUACUAGCAAAGAAUCGAUUUUGCUCGAGGCUUGAAUUGGUUUGUUUUCCUUGAAUAUGUAUUUGUUAGUAUUUAAAGAGUAGUUUAGUAGAGAGAUUUGACCCUCUUAUUCGGCAUCAUAUUGAGUUCUCAACCGAAUUGUAAGUUCAUAACUAAUGAAUAUUCAUUUUUUCGUAUUCCAGCUUACCAUUAGUUAAUAGUAAUAUAAAGCCUUGUUAAUA